UACGUAGGGUGCAAGCGUUAAUCGGAAUUACUGGGCGUAAAGCGUGCGCAGGCGGUUUUGUAAGUCUGACGUGAAAUCCCCGGGCUCAACCUGGGAAUUGCAUUCGAGACUGAAUAGCUAGGGUACGGUAGAGGGAAGCGGAAUUUCCGGUGUAGCGGUGAAAUGCGUAGAUAUUGGGAAGAACACCGAUGGCGAAGGCAGCCAUCUGGACCGACACUGACGCUGAGGCGCGAAAGCGUGGGGAGCAAACAGG
This 253-nucleotide ribosomal RNA is filed under the name uncultured bacterium. RNAcentral's name for it is "partial 16S ribosomal RNA". It matches the Rfam family "Bacterial small subunit ribosomal RNA", at positions 524 to 776 of the family's 1533-position model. The record is from RNAcentral.